UACGGAAGGCAGCAGUGGGGAAUAUUGCACAAUGGGCGCAAGCCUGAUGCAGCCAUGCCGCGUGUAUGAAGAAGGCCUUCGGGUUGUAAAGUACUUUCAGUCGUGAGGAAGGUGUUAAGGUUAAUAACCUUAGCAAUUGACGUUAGCGACAGAAGAAGCACCGGCUAACUCCGUGCCAGCAGCCGCGGUAAUACGGAGGGUGCGAGCGUUAAUCGGAAUUACUGGGCGUAAAGGGCACGCAGGCGGUUAAUUAAGUUGGAUGUGAAAUCCCCGGGCUUAACCUGGGAAUGGCAUUCAAGACUGGUUAGCUAGAGUCUUGUAGAGGGGGUAGAAUUCCAUGUGUAGCGGUGAAAUGCGUAGAGAUGUGGAGGAAUACCGGUGGCGAAGGCGGCCCCCGGACAAAGACUGACGCUCAUGUGCGAAAGCGUGGGGAGCGAAACAGGGAUUAGAU
This 451-nucleotide ribosomal RNA is filed under the name uncultured bacterium. RNAcentral's name for it is "bacterial SSU rRNA". It matches the Rfam family "Bacterial small subunit ribosomal RNA", at positions 340 to 783 of the family's 1533-position model. The record is from RNAcentral.